Molecule: ribosomal RNA, 1607 nt
Filed under: Enterobacter hormaechei
Lineage: Bacteria; Pseudomonadati; Pseudomonadota; Gammaproteobacteria; Enterobacterales; Enterobacteriaceae
Description: partial 23S ribosomal RNA
Rfam family: Bacterial large subunit ribosomal RNA
Source: RNAcentral
CUUAUGCGUUGUUGGGUAGGGGAGCGUUCUGUAAGCCGUUGAAGGUGUGCUGUGAGGCAUGCUGGAGGUAUCAGAAGUGCGAAUGCUGACAUAAGUAACGAUAAAGCGGGUGAAAAGCCCGCUCGCCGGAAGACCAAGGGUUCCUGUCCAACGUUAAUCGGGGCAGGGUGAGUCGACCCCUAAGGCGAGGCCGAAAGGCGUAGUCGAUGGGAAACAGGUUAAUAUUCCUGUACUUGGUGUUACUGCGAAGGGGGGACGGAGAAGGCUAUGUCAGCCGGGCGACGGUUGUCCCGGUUUAAGCAUGUAGGCGGAGGUUCCAGGUAAAUCCGGUACCUUAUUAACGCUGAGGUGUGAUGACGAGGCACUACGGUGCUGAAGUGAUAAAUGCCCUGCUUCCAGGAAAAGCCUCUAAGCAUCAGGUAACACGAAAUCGUACCCCAAACCGACACAGGUGGUCAGGUAGAGAAUACCAAGGCGCUUGAGAGAACUCGGGUGAAGGAACUAGGCAAAAUGGUGCCGUAACUUCGGGAGAAGGCACGCUGAUAUGUAGGUGAAGCCCCUGCGGGCGGAGCUGAAAUCAGUCGAAGAUACCAGCUGGCUGCAACUGUUUAUUAAAAACACAGCACUGUGCAAACACGAAAGUGGACGUAUACGGUGUGACGCCUGCCCGGUGCCGGAAGGUUAAUUGAUGGGGUUAGCGGCAACGCGAAGCUCUUGAUCGAAGCCCCGGUAAACGGCGGCCGUAACUAUAACGGUCCUAAGGUAGCGAAAUUCCUUGUCGGGUAAGUUCCGACCUGCACGAAUGGCGUAAUGAUGGCCAGGCUGUCUCCACCCGAGACUCAGUGAAAUUGAACUCGCUGUGAAGAUGCAGUGUACCCGCGGCAAGACGGAAAGACCCCGUGAACCUUUACUAUAGCUUGACACUGAACACUGGUCCUUGAUGUGUAGGAUAGGUGGGAGGCUUUGAAGCGUGGACGCCAGUCUGCGUGGAGCCGCCCUUGAAAUACCACCCUUUAAUGGCUGGUGUUCUAACGUAGACCCGUGAUCCGGGUUGCGGACAGUGUCUGGUGGGUAGUUUGACUGGGGCGGUCUCCUCCCAAAGAGUAACGGAGGAGCACGAAGGUUGGCUAAUCCUGGUCGGACAUCAGGAGGUUAGUGCAAUGGCAUAAGCCAGCUUGACUGCGAGCGUGACGGCGCGAGCAGGUGCGAAAGCAGGUCAUAGUGAUCCGGUGGUUCUGAAUGGAAGGGCCAUCGCUCAACGGAUAAAAGGUACUCCGGGGAUAACAGGCUGAUACCGCCCAAGAGUUCAUAUCGACGGCGGUGUUUGGCACCUCGAUGUCGGCUCAUCACAUCCUGGGGCUGAAGUAGGUCCCAAGGGUAUGGCUGUUCGCCAUUUAAAGUGGUACGCGAGCUGGGUUUAGAACGUCGUGAGACAGUUCGGUCCCUAUCUGCCGUGGGCGCUGGAGAAUUGAGGGGGGCUGCUCCUAGUACGAGAGGACCGGAGUGGACGCAUCACUGGUGUUCGGGUUGUCAUGCCAAUGGCACUGCCCGGUAGCUAAAUGCGGAAGAGAUAAGUGCUGAAAGCAUCUAAGCACGAAACUUGCCCC